UGCUCAGGACUGUGAGAGAAUGCCUGCAGCAGAAACCACAGCAGUUUGAUCGGAUCGUGUUCUGUGUGUUCCUGCAGUCUGAUGAGCUGAUUUAUAAAACAAAGCUUCCCAAAUACUUUCCAGGAACUCCACAGAAGAGCAAGCUGUGAGGAUCAACUGAAACAAACACAGGAUCUGCAGAGACUGCCUCCCAGAAAAUACUAACGCCCUCGCCCUGAACCCUGAACCCCGACAGCCCCCUACGUGUGUCAACAGCAAGCGUCUCCACUAGAAGUCUUUCUCAGUGUCUUCAGCGUCAAUUCAAUACAAGCGUUUCCACUAGAAGUCUUUCUCAGUGUCUUCAGUGUCAAUUCAAUGGCAAGCGUUUCCACUAGAUGUCUUUCUCAGACCUGUUCAUGUUUCCAGGCCGCUGUGUGUGUUUCCAGCUCUCUGUGUCUCUCAUGUUGUAACACUAACAUGUUUUUCGAGUUCAUUAAAGACUGAGGUGAAUGUUUUGAAAAGCCUGGCCAGGCCUGCAAUGCAUUCUGGAACCAUCGCCCAUCUUCAACCCUCUCCCACUGCAAUACUAGAAUACAAACACGCUGCAAUACACUGACAGCUCUCCCGUCUACAACCCUCUCCCACUGCAAUACUAGAAUACAAACACGCUGCAAUACACUGACAGCUCUCCCGUCUACAACCCUCUCCCACUGCAAUACUAGAAUACAAACACGCUGCAAUACACUGACAGCUCUCCCGUCUACAACCCUCUCCCACUGCAAUACUAGAAUACAAACACGCUGCAAUACACUGACAGCUCUCCCGUCUACAACCCUCUCCCACUGCAAUACUAGAAUACAAACACGCUGCAAUACACUGACAGCUCUCCCAUCUACAGAACAGCUGUCUAUAUGAGAGAGAUGGACAGAGUGUGAGAGAGAGAGAGAGGGAGAGGGAGAGGGAGUAACCUCAGUCCCUCAUGACUCCUUGUUUAGCUGCUGUGCUCGGACUGAAAUGUUAAUUAAACUGUGAGAUUAGCUAACGAGUUCAACUCUGCGCUGAGCUAAUUGGAGACACAGAGACACCCAGCUCUCCCGGGACACCCUGCACACACAUCCCCCGUCUCUCAGUACCCUUCCUCACAGCACAGUGUGAUACAACACAGUGACAUUACAGCGGUGUGGUACAGCACAGUGUGAUACAGCACAGUGUCAGCAUGGGAAUGC
Long non-coding RNA from Polyodon spathula (Mississippi paddlefish), 1205 nucleotides. RefSeq lists it as uncharacterized. The record is from RefSeq and is a predicted model, not a curated record. The transcript is spliced from 3 exons. NCBI's taxonomy places the organism in Eukaryota, Metazoa, Chordata, Actinopteri, Acipenseriformes, Polyodontidae.